This 1053-nucleotide ribosomal RNA is filed under the name Rummeliibacillus pycnus. RNAcentral describes it as "bacterial SSU rRNA". It matches the Rfam family "Bacterial small subunit ribosomal RNA", at positions 277 to 1321 of the family's 1533-position model. The record is from RNAcentral. Lineage: Bacteria; Bacillati; Bacillota; Bacilli; Caryophanales; Caryophanaceae.
CGAUGCAUAGCCGACCUGAGAGGGUGAUCGGCCACAUUGGGACUGAGACACGGCCCAAACUCCUACGGGAGGCAGCAGUAGGGAAUCUUCCACAAUGGACGAAAGUCUGAUGGAGCAACGCCGCGUGAGUGAUGAAGGUUUUCGGAUCGUAAAACUCUGUUGUAAGGGAAGAACAAGUACGUUAGGAAAUGAACGUACCUUGACGGUACCUUAUUAGAAAGCCACGGCUAACUACGUGCCAGCAGCCGCGGUAAUACGUAGGUGGCAAGCGUUGUCCGGAUUUAUUGGGCGUAAAGCGCGCGCAGGUGGUUUCUUAAGUCUGAUGUGAAAGCCCACGGCUCAACCGUGGAGGGUCAUUGGAAACUGGGAGACUUGAGUGCAGAAGAGGAUAGUGGAAUUCCAAGUGUAGCGGUGAAAUGCGUAGAGAUUUGGAGGAACACCAGUGGCGAAGGCGACUGUCUGGUCUGUAACUGACACUGAGGCGCGAAAGCGUGGGGAGCAAACAGGAUUAGAUACCCUGGUAGUCCACGCCGUAAACGAUGAGUGCUAAGUGUUAGGGGGUUUCCGCCCCUUAGUGCUGCAGCUAACGCAUUAAGCACUCCGCCUGGGGAGUACGACCGCAAGGUUGAAACUCAAAGGAAUUGACGGGGGCCCGCACAAGCGGUGGAGCAUGUGGUUUAAUUCGAAGCAACGCGAAGAACCUUACCAGGUCUUGACAUCCCAGUGACCGCUCUAGAGAUAGAGUUUUCCCUUCGGGGACAUUGGUGACAGGUGGUGCAUGGUUGUCGUCAGCUCGUGUCGUGAGAUGUUGGGUUAAGUCCCGCAACGAGCGCAACCCUUAAUCUUAGUUGCCAUCAUUUAGUUGGGCACUCUAAGGUGACUGCCGGUGACAAACCGGAGGAAGGUGGGGAUGACGUCAAAUCAUCAUGCCCCUGAUGACCUGGGCUACACACGUGCUACAAUGGACGGUACAAAGAGUCGCUAACUCGCGAGAGUACGCUAAUCUCAUAAAACCGUUCUCAGUUCGGAUUGUAGGCUGCAACUCGCCUACAU